GUGUUCCUCAGGGUUGGGGAUAACCUUUCAUGUACUUCCUCAAGACACAGUAUUACUGGAUAUAUUUGAUUUACACAUAAACUAGGACACUCCAUGCUUUCCAGAAACACAAGUGAAGUUUAAUAGAGAUAAAACCAUUCCACUGGUGCUGCUAUGAUCAAGAAGCUACAAUCAAUCUUGUUUUCUUCAAGCAUGUCAUAAAAAGACCCUUUUCCUUCUGAUUAGCAUUCUUGAACACAGUACAAGCUGAUGACUUGCUUGAAGUCAUUCACUGUAGGGAUACAGCACCUACUGCACGUGAUAAAACGACAUAAGGCAUAUGAACUGCUCAUUACAAUCUAAUUAGUUUGGGCUUCUCAUUUCAUUUUAUGUCCUGAAUUGAACCUGAUUCAAUAUGAUUCUGCGCUGGAGUUCAUCAUAUCUUCUCCCUGGCAUGCAAGUUCAUGAUGCCUGCUUGCUAGAUUCCAUGGUUAUAGAAAUGGUUUCUCUUUUUUUUUCAGGGACUGGUUAGAUAGAAGGUCAUUAAUAAAACAUCAGAAGCCUUUCCUAUUAUUUUUUUCCUCUGCGAGAUUUUGAUUUGACUUAGCACACAGCACCGUUUUUAAAGUAUUUCAAGAAGGU
Molecule: long non-coding RNA, 621 nt
Filed under: Homo sapiens (human)
Lineage: Eukaryota; Metazoa; Chordata; Mammalia; Primates; Hominidae
Description: HSALNT0040751
Source: RNAcentral